Molecule: transfer RNA, 64 nt
Filed under: Illeis cincta
Lineage: Eukaryota; Metazoa; Arthropoda; Insecta; Coleoptera; Coccinellidae
Description: tRNA-Trp
Source: RNAcentral
AAGGAUUUAAGUUAAAAAAACUAUUAACCUUCAAAGUUAAAAUUAGACCAAAAUCUAAGCCUUA